This 477-nucleotide ribosomal RNA is filed under the name uncultured bacterium. Its description in RNAcentral is "partial 16S ribosomal RNA". It matches the Rfam family "Bacterial small subunit ribosomal RNA", at positions 355 to 824 of the family's 1533-position model. The record is from RNAcentral.
UGGGGAAUUUUGGACAAUGGGCGAAAGCCUGAUCCAGCAAUGCCGCGUGUGUGAAGAAGGCCUUCGGGUUGUAAAGCACUUUUGUCCGGAAAGAAAUCCUUGGCUCUAAUACAGUCGGGGGAUGACGGUACCGGAAGAAUAAGCACCGGCUAACUACGUGCCAGCAGCCGCGGUAAUACGUAGGGUGCAAGCGUUAAUCGGAAUUACUGGGCGUAAAGCGUGCGCAGGCGGUUUGCUAAGACCGAUGUGAAAUCCCCGGGCUCAACCUGGGAACUGCAUUGGUGACUGGCAGGCUAGAGUAUGGCAGAGGGGGGUAGAAUUCCACGUGUAGCAGUGAAAUGCGUAGAGAUGUGGAGGAAUACCGAUGGCGAAGGCAGCCCCCUGGGCCAAUACUGACGCUCAUGCACGAAAGCGUGGGGAGCAAACAGGAUUAGAUACCCUGGUAGUCCACGUGUAAAACGAUGUCGAUUUUGGAGG